UACUGGUGUGGAAAGGCCGGGUUUUCUUAGGGGCACAGAUUUAGUAAGAAAAGCACGUGAAUUUUGUUCUGUUUCAGAGCAUUGGGUGGAAGCUGGACUGUAAAAGAAUAUUCCAUGGCAUAGCUGCACACACGCCUGUAUGCUUCUCUCGUGAGAGCAUCUGUUGCUUCCCUGCCCACUGACACGCCGGGACGGCAUCUCUCAUUGCACUCGACGAACCUUGGCUGGACACGGCAGAUUUACACUCCCUCAGCAGCUUCCUGGCUGCUGUGGGGAACCGUUACCUUUGAGGAAAUGUCUUUCCAGCGGGUCUUGCCUGAGGCUCCAGCUCCGCCUAAGCAUUCCCCUCGGCUUUUGCUCCUGAUCUGCGCUGCAUCUUCUGUGAUGAUUCCUGCUCAGACAGCAAUGCGCUGCAAACGAAGUUCCAAAGUUAUUCAAGCAAGGCUGCCGUGAGCCAUCUCCCCGCCAGCCAGGUUUCUAAGCUGAGCACCAACAGUUGAAAGCAGACCUCCAAGAGCGGCCGGCUUCCCGGAGCUCCCAUCCAGACUCAGUGGUCAGACCUAUGGAAGAAAACUGAUUCCAGCCGUUUACUUUGUGCGGUAAAUGCGCUGUAAGCUUCUUGAGGACAUCUGCUCUGUUCCAGUUCCCUACACAGCUUCACGUGUGGAUUUGAAACCCAGGUAAUGCCGGCGCUGAACCCGUCCAACGAGGCUGCAGUAGUCCCACCCUACCCGCCAGCCACGUACAUAUGGGAGUCCAGAGGCGGAGAAGUCACCAGGCUGCCCAAAGCAGUGGCGGGCAGUGACCCGCGGGUGGGCUAGUAGAGUUCUGCCCACAGGGAAAUAAAAGCAGAGUCUUUUCCACUCAGCCUAGAAUUCAAGCAGCGAAGACCCGACUUUUCUGAUGUUCUCAGUAUGAUGCCGAACUUCCCAUGCUGCGAACACAGCUGUAGCCGUGAGGGCUGGCCCCUUCCAGAAGCUGGGCACGCAGGAAACGUCACAAGCUACCUGUCAAAAAUCUGACUGGAAUGAGAUGUGAGUGAAAUCAGAAUCAGGCCUACUACAUGCAGUUAAUCAUAAAUAAUGCUGUCUCGGUAAUGGUUGCAAUUAGUUAUGAACUUCAAUCAUUUCUAACGUUUCCAUGUUGGCCAAUUAUGCUGCAGAAAUUAUCAAGUAACCCAUAGCACAUUAGCUUUCUGUAAUGCCAUUGUUUGGACGUGCUCAGGUCACCAGAUCCUCGCCAGGAUGAAUUAGCAUAGCUCUCCCGAGUACAAUGGUGCUCUGCUGAUUUACACUGCCUGAGAAGCUGGCCCUUUGUCUGCUGCAGUUGUAGCUGCAGCAAGUUUAAAUCACAGCCUUGCAGUAGAGACUCUUAGGACCCAGCCUCAUAGAAACAAUGGCAUGCGUGUUUUCUCUCCGGACUGUGCGGGUGACUUAUUAGAUGCCAACGGUAAUUCUUGUGUCUGGUGGUAGUUCAACAAUAAGCUGAAAUCAUACUUUGAUGGUGCAAUUUGAAGCUGGGAAGAGGAACACAAUUAAUGGGCUCGUGUGACUUCUUAAAAAGAGAAGCCUCUCAGAUAAGGAAAUUUCUUAAACUCGUGCUGACGAGCGGCUUAAAACUUCCUUACGUGCUUGGCCUACAGCUUGUUAAAAUACUUUUGUUUUGAUUUUACAGGACUGCAGAGCUGUGUUAGGACCGCUG
Long non-coding RNA from Chroicocephalus ridibundus (black-headed gull), 1701 nucleotides. RefSeq lists it as uncharacterized. The transcript is spliced from 3 exons. The record is from RefSeq and is a predicted model, not a curated record. NCBI's taxonomy places the organism in Eukaryota, Metazoa, Chordata, Aves, Charadriiformes, Laridae.